UACGUAGGGGGCAAGCGUUGUCCGGAAUCAUUGGGCGUAAAGCGCACGUAGGCGGCCUCGCAAGUCUGAUGUGAAAUCCCUCGGCUCAACCGAGGACGUGCAUCGGAAACUGCGGGGCUUGAGUACUGAAGAGGAUCGCGGAAUUCCCGGUGUAGAGGUGAAAUUCGUAGAUAUCGGGAGGAACACCAGUGGCGAAGGCGGCGAUCUGGGCAGAUACUGACGCUGAGGUGCGAAAGCGUGGGGAGCAAACAGG
RNAcentral lists this ribosomal RNA (253 nucleotides) under uncultured bacterium. RNAcentral's name for it is "partial 16S ribosomal RNA". It matches the Rfam family "Bacterial small subunit ribosomal RNA", at positions 524 to 776 of the family's 1533-position model. The record is from RNAcentral.